AGUGGGAUAGCUGAGUCAAAUGCCGUUCCAAGUUUUCUAAGGAAUCUCCAUACUGCUUUCCAGAUUGGGUGUACCAUUUUGCAGUCCCAUCAGCAAU
This 97-nucleotide microRNA precursor is filed under the name Marmota monax (woodchuck). The record is from RNAcentral. Lineage: Eukaryota; Metazoa; Chordata; Mammalia; Rodentia; Sciuridae.